AUACGGAGGAUCCGAGCGUUAUCCGGAUUUAUUGGGUUUAAAGGGAGCGUAGGUGGACAGUUAAGUCAGUUGUGAAAGUUUGCGGCUCAACCGUAAAAUUGCAGUUGAUACUGGCUGUCUUGAGUACAGUAGAGGUGGGCGGAAUUCGUGGGGUAGCGGUGAAAUGCUUAGAUAUCACGAAGAACUCCGAUUGCGAAGGCAGCUCACUGGACUGCAACUGACACUGAUGCUCGAAAGUGUGGGUAUCAAACAGGAUUAGAUACCCUGGUAGUCCACACAGUAAACGAUGAAUACUCGCUGUUUGCGAUAUACAGUAAGCGGCCAAGCGAAAGCAUUAAGUAUUCCACCUGGGGAGUACGCCGGCAACGGUGAAACUCAAAGGAAUUGACGGGG
Molecule: ribosomal RNA, 393 nt
Filed under: uncultured bacterium
Lineage: Bacteria
Description: partial 16S ribosomal RNA
Rfam family: Bacterial small subunit ribosomal RNA
Source: RNAcentral